GACGAACGCUGGCGGCGUGCUUAACACAUGCAAGUCGAACGGAAAGGCCCUGCUUUUGUGGGGUGCUCGAGUGGCGAACGGGUGAGUAACACGUGAGUAACCUGCCCUUGACUUUGGGAUAACUUCAGGAAACUGGGGCUAAUACCGGAUAGCAGCUCCUGCUGCAUGGUGGGGGUUGGAAAGUUUCGGCGGUUGGGGAUGGACUCGCGGCUUAUCAGCUUGUUGGUGGGGUAGUGGCUUACCAAGGCUUUGACGGGUAGCCGGCCUGAGAGGGUGACCGGCCACAUUGGGACUGAGAUACGGCCCAGACUCCUACGGGAGGCAGCAGCGGGGAAUAUUGCACAAUGGGCGGAAGCCUGAUGCAGCAACGCCGCGUGCGGGAUGACGGCCUUCGGGUUGUAAACCGCUUUCGCCUGUGACGAAGCGUGAGUGACGGUAAUGGGUAAAGAAGCACCGGCUAACUACGUG
This 468-nucleotide ribosomal RNA is filed under the name uncultured bacterium. RNAcentral's name for it is "partial 16S ribosomal RNA". It matches the Rfam family "Bacterial small subunit ribosomal RNA", at positions 28 to 507 of the family's 1533-position model. The record is from RNAcentral.